UCCUACGUCAGCCUUCCCUUAACAGCUCCACGUAGGACAUUUGCAGACGUGGAGGCGAGAGAUAGCGAAGAAAGGCCUGAGCCUUCCCUUCCGCAAGGGAACUUCUCUUAUCAAGAACGGGAAGGCAAGUCUUGGCGUUGUAUGACUUGCUUUUCCUUAUCAACGCGUUUGCCAAAUCCAGUGCUCCGACGCGCGAAAUUACUUUGCUCGUUGCGCCAAAUUCUUUCUUCUCCCCGUGCUGAAUCGUCCUAUCUGCAUAUAUCCAUGUUUACUCAGAGGAACCACAAACCCGACCGCUGCCGCCGCAAAUCCAUCCCAGCCGCCACUGCUCCGGCCAUGUCUCGUCGGCCGGCGUGGAAUGGAUCUUCUGCACCUCUGCGCACGCGCGGACAAUCUUCUCCAUCCCCAAUUCCCGUCUAUGCCCUCCACCGCCGAACUAUGCUGGAUUUGGCACCAGCGCCUGGCACGUUUGGUGGGAUGGGUCUGGUGCUAGUAUCCCCAAUCUUUCUCCUCCAGCAGAUUGGGUAAAUGAUGUUCACCCACCUAGAGGUUAUGUCUAAAACACUGCGGUGCUUUUUUUUUAUUGAACAAACACUGCGGUGCUAGAAAUACAAAAACGUAUUUUACAGGAUAAGGUUGAGGCAUUACGGCUCACCCUGGAGGCAGCAAGGGAGAACAAGGAGGCCAAAACAAAAGCAAAAAUGCUAGAGCAAUACACUGAGUGGGGGAGGUACAACUUUUAGAACCAGGGUGCAUGUGGAAUGAAAAACUACAAUUGUGCAAAGAUUUUUUUGUAGUGCUGGCUCUUCACUUCCAGGUCUCUUGAAACUUGGUUGCAAUAUCCAGUGGUUGUUGGUGCUGGACUACCUACUGCGUGUCUCCAGGAGUUUGAAUUGAUUUACAUAUGGAAUUUGUAUCUGUGAUCG
This is a non-coding RNA of Lolium perenne, 926 nucleotides long. The record is from RefSeq and is a predicted model, not a curated record. Lineage: Eukaryota; Viridiplantae; Streptophyta; Magnoliopsida; Poales; Poaceae.